Molecule: ribosomal RNA, 550 nt
Filed under: Yarrowia lipolytica
Lineage: Eukaryota; Fungi; Ascomycota; Dipodascomycetes; Dipodascales
Description: eukaryotic LSU rRNA
Rfam family: Eukaryotic large subunit ribosomal RNA
Source: RNAcentral
UGCAUAUCAAUAAGCGGAGGAAAAGAAACCAACAGGGAUUGCCUCAGUAACGGCGAGUGAAGCGGCAAAAGCUCAAAUUUGAAACCCUCGGGAUUGUAAUUUGAAGAUUUGGCAUUGGAGAAAGCUAACCCAAGUUGCUUGGAAUAGUACGUCAUAGAGGGUGACAACCCCGUCUGGCUAACCGUUCUCCAUGUAUUGCCUUAUCAAAGAGUCGAGUUGUUUGGGAAUGCAGCUCAAAGUGGGUGGUAAACUCCAUCUAAAGCUAAAUACUGGUGAGAGACCGAUAGCGAACAAGUACUGUGAAGGAAAGGUGAAAAGAACUUUGAAAAGAGAGUGAAAUAGUAUGUGAAAUUGUUGAUAGGGAAGGAAAUGAGUGGAGAGUGGCCGAGGUUUCAGCCGCCCCUCGUGGGCGGUGUACUGCCGACGCCGAGUCAUCGAUAGCGAGACGAGGGUUACAAAUGGGAGCGCCUUUCGGGCGUUCUCCCCUAACCCUCCACACUGCCACCGACGACAUAAUCCACCCAUUUCACCCGUCUUGAAACACGGACCA